ACCUCGGCUCAGAAGAGAUUACCCGCUGAACUUAAGCAUAUCAGUAAGCGGAGGAAAAGAAACCAAUAGGGAUUCCCUUAGUAGGGGCGACCGAAAUGGGAAGAGCCCAGCGCAGAACCUCCCGGGCCACCCGGCCUGCGGCGGAAUGUUGCGUAAAGGGAAAGGUCGUAGUCAAACCCUACAACCACACGAUCU
RNAcentral lists this ribosomal RNA (195 nucleotides) under Diporeia hoyi. Its description in RNAcentral is "partial 28S ribosomal RNA". It matches the Rfam family "Eukaryotic large subunit ribosomal RNA", at positions 1 to 191 of the family's 3401-position model. Lineage: Eukaryota; Metazoa; Arthropoda; Malacostraca; Amphipoda; Haustoriidae. The record is from RNAcentral.